GAACCASUAUGACAUGAUACGCAGCUGUACCGAGCUCGAUCACUAGUACUGCGCAGUGUGCUGAUCGCAUAGAGUUGAUCUGCUCAGACGACGCUGCGCGUGCUACACAUGCAAGUCGAACGUGAUCCAGAGCUGCUCUGGUGAAAGUGCGCACGGUGAGUAACGCGUGGAUAACUACUGUAUCCGGAUAACAUCCGAAAGGGUGCUAAUACUGGAUAAGCCCACGGGCUCUUUGGAGCGUGCGGAAAAGGUGGCCUCUAUUUAUAAGCUACUGUAUCAGGAUGGGUCCGCGUACCAUUAGCUAGUUGGUAGGGUAAAGGCCUACCAAGGCGACGAUGGUUAGCUGGUCUGAGAGGAUGAUCAGCCACACUGGAACUGAGACACGGUCCAGACUCCUACGGGAGGCAGCAGUGGGGAAUUUUGCGCAAUGGGGGAAACCCUGACGCAGCAACGCCGCGUGAGUGAUGAAGGCCCUUGGGUCGUAAAGCUCUGACAGAGGGAAAGAAGUGCAGGGGAGCUAAUACCUCCUUUGCUUGACGGUACCCUCAAAGGAAGCACCGGCUAACUCCGUGCCAGCAGCCGCGGUAAUACAAGGGCGMMYUCUGCGAGAUAUCCUAUCUACACUGGCGGCGGSGUGG
Molecule: ribosomal RNA, 638 nt
Filed under: uncultured Geobacteraceae bacterium
Lineage: Bacteria; Pseudomonadati; Thermodesulfobacteriota; Desulfuromonadia; Geobacterales; Geobacteraceae
Description: bacterial SSU rRNA
Rfam family: Bacterial small subunit ribosomal RNA
Source: RNAcentral